UUUCCUGAGCCGCUCCCCCAACUACCCACCUCCCUUAACAAUCAAAAUCCAAGAUCUGCACAUGAACAUCAAAGAUUCAAGAUCUGAACAUGGAAUAAUCAAUAUACGAACAUCAAAGGUCAAGAUCUGAACAUCGAAGAUCUUAAAAUACGAACAUUGAAGGUUUAUUUCCAACUUUCCAUUCGUUUUUUGUUCAACGAAGAUGAUCUGUUCAUUUUAUAUGUACAUGGCCACUGAAGAAUAUAAAAGCUUUUGUUUUAUAAAGUGGUCGUUUAAUAUGAUAACUUCAUGAAGAUUGGAAGGAUGGGCUGGAAUCGGAUGAAUUGGAAUAUGAAGAUUAUUGGCUAUUUUGAGAUAAUGUUGAAUAUUAUCUGUUAUUUUGGAAAGAUGGAUUACGUUGGUUUGUUUUUUUAACAUUUGGAAUUUUGUUUGGUAUUUGGUUUGUUGGAAAAAAGACAUUUUUGUUUUGAAAUUUAUUUUUUUAGAAUUAUGGAUAUCCGAUUAACUAUCCGAAUCCGUAUCCGAAAUUUCGGAUAUCCGAAUUUUCGGAUAUCCGGUUUUAAACACCCCUACUUGUAUAUAUAGGGUAUGUUUGGCAUGAAGCUUUUAGGAGCUUUUAGGAGCUUCAAGCUUUAAGCUUUUAAGAAAAAGCUCCUACUUAAUAAAAAGUCUUGUUUGGUUGAAGGAGCUUUAAGCUUUUAGGUUAGGAGCUUGAAGCUUUUGGUUGAACGCUACUACUAGUAGCGUUUAGAAGGAGCUACAAGCUUUUAGAGAAAAAUGGCUAUUUUAACCUCUCAAAAUAAGAAACUUUUUAAUGCACCAACUUUCUAAAUUUUUAGUUAUGUCUAUUUUGGUAAUUUUAUACAUUUUAUUAAAAGCUCCAGCUACUCUACCAAACACCAAAUAUAUCUAAAAAGCUACAGCUACUAGCUACCAGCUACAGCUACCAGCUUCCAGCCACCAGCUACCAGCUUCCAGCUUUCAGCUACCAGCCACCAGCUACUUUUGCCAAACAUACCCAUAGUUGAAUGUGUAGCUUGAAAGACACGGAAAAUUUA
RNAcentral lists this long non-coding RNA (1058 nucleotides) under Helianthus annuus (common sunflower). Its description in RNAcentral is "hypothetical non coding rna". The record is from RNAcentral. Lineage: Eukaryota; Viridiplantae; Streptophyta; Magnoliopsida; Asterales; Asteraceae.